Molecule: long non-coding RNA, 1498 nt
Filed under: Helianthus annuus (common sunflower)
Lineage: Eukaryota; Viridiplantae; Streptophyta; Magnoliopsida; Asterales; Asteraceae
Source: RNAcentral
UUCCAUUCAUCCCAAUUUGGGGUUUUAGUUGAUGAUCAUAAUUGUUCAUAUGUUGCUUUCCUUUUAAUUUUCGAGGAACUCCUAUCAUCUUUAAGGAAAACAAAUAGGCGGCCUUGAGGCUGAUAUGAUGGCAUUGAAGGAACUUUAAAUCUUCAAGUUAUUCGGUCUUCAAUCUCGGGCUAACAUUGGUUGUUUCUCACAGUAUGUGGAUUGAAGUUUCAAGAUAUUACAGAAGGCAAUGUGCAAAUUAGGAUCAUGAUGGUUCACACAUCAAAGGGCUACUUGUGAACUUUCUUCACUCAUUUUUGGCCAUCUUUACUAGAAGUUCCAGAAUUUGUGUUUGACUACUGUCGAUCAUUAAGGGAAUCUUUAGUGACAUGUCUAUUCGUGAUGGCUCUAAUCUCUACCCUACUUUUUUGGAUAUUGAAAUCUUAAAAAGACUUCCAGUUUGAUUACGUCUUUCGUUGGAUAUCAACAAUCGCAACUUGUCAAUCCGCCACUCUUGGUGCUAAUGCUGGACUAAGUGCUGGAGCCCUUCCUUUGGUUUCUAACCUGAAUAGGCAAAUAUUUGUGUGUUGGAAAGACUUGGAUCGAGCAACAAAGCCUUGAAAGCUUAGCAAGUUGUGUUUUGACCUUUCACCAACCGGCCCUUUUCGCCACCUGGCACAUGUGCCAUUAGAGUUAGUGAACCUAACUCAUCCCGUGCACGGACUACAAAUGUAAGCCCCUGUGUACUCAACAAUGGUUCAAGGUUGGCCCAAAGGAGCUAACCUGUUGUGUCCUCAGACCAGGAACGACCCUUUUCUAGAUAUGCUUUCAAGCAGCAACCUCAAAAACUUUGAAUCAACACUAACGAGUAUUGAGGGCAUGCACUUUUAACACAAUCGAGGGAAAUUACAUCUUGCCCACUCCACGUGUAAAUAUGUUUCUUAAAAGCAUGCACCACUAAAAAAGCUACAGAAAGUGAAAACAACGCAGGGUUUCAUCACAGCUAUGGUCAUAAUGAGAGUCGACAUUCUUUUUUCUGAUUUUGUCCUGCCUAAACCUGCUGGUUUUGGUCAGACACCGUCUAAACCCAAAAUUGGAUGCGUAUGAUGCUGAAGAUUAGACUGUCUUUAUGUUUUGGAGGCUGGUUGGUGAAUCAUUAAGCAACGGGUUUGACGUUUUAAACGUAUCGUUUUAGUAAAACAGGAUAACGACUAUAGGUGAAGUGAGUGCCUAGCUUUUAGAUAUUCUGGUGAACCCGGCCGUGUGGGAAAUUAGUGGACGCAUGGUGUUGAAAACAGAGGAAUAUGUUCAUCUCAUUAAAGAAAAAGCAUGGCGACUGCUUGCAGAGGUUUCUUUAAUUCUAUGUUGAAACAAGGUUUCAAGAAGUGAUGAUUAUCUUCGAAACAGUUUCAUGUGCUGCCAUUGAGAAAAUGUUGUCGGAGGAUAAGCAAGAUGCUGUUGAAGUUGGUAGUUUUAAUAAUUUUCGCAGUGCAGCCAUCAUGCAGCGAGG